UCAUUGGACAGAGCUGCUACUGGAG
RNAcentral lists this non-coding RNA (25 nucleotides) under Cricetulus griseus (Chinese hamster). The record is from RNAcentral. Lineage: Eukaryota; Metazoa; Chordata; Mammalia; Rodentia; Cricetidae.